GGGCUCGUAGCUCAGCCUGGUAGAGCGUCGGCCUUUUAAGCCGGGUGUCGCGGGUUCGAAUCCCGUCGGGCCCA
This 74-nucleotide transfer RNA is filed under the name Candidatus Aenigmatarchaeota archaeon. Its description in RNAcentral is "tRNA-Lys". It matches the Rfam family "tRNA". From Rfam's summary of the family: Transfer RNA (tRNA) molecules are approximately 80 nucleotides in length. Their secondary structure includes four short double-helical elements and three loops (D, anti-codon, and T loops). Lineage: Archaea; Nanobdellati; Candidatus Aenigmatarchaeota. The record is from RNAcentral.